CAGCCGCCGCGGUAAUACGAAGGGGGCUAGCGUUGCUCGGAAUGACUGGGCGUAAAGGGCGCGUAGGCGGAUGGCACAGUCAGAUGUGAAAUUCCCGGGCUUAACCUGGGGGCUGCAUUUGAUACGUGUUGUCUAGAGUGAGGAAGAGGGUCGUGGAAUUCCCAGUGUAGAGGUGAAAUUCGUAGAUAUUGGGAAGAACACCGGUGGCGAAGGCGGCGACCUGGUCCUUUACUGACGCUGAGGCGCGAAAGCGUGGGGAGCGGACAGGAUUAGAUACCCCCGUAGUCCCUGUCUCUUAUAC
Molecule: ribosomal RNA, 301 nt
Filed under: uncultured bacterium
Lineage: Bacteria
Description: partial 16S ribosomal RNA
Rfam family: Bacterial small subunit ribosomal RNA
Source: RNAcentral